GGUCAAGCUACUAAGGGUAGGCGGUGGAUGCCUUGGCACCAGCAGGCGAUGAAGGGCGUGGUAAGCUGCGAUAAGCCUCGGGUAGCCGCACACAGGCGUUAAUCCGGGGAUUCCCGAAUGGGGAAACCCGAUGCCGUUUGUCCGGCAUCAUCCCGGCCUGAAUCCAUAGGGUCGGGAGGCGAACCGGGGGAACUGAAACAUCUCAGUACCCCGAGGAAAAGAAAUCAACCGAGAUUCCCCCAGUAGCGGCGAGCGAAAAGGGAGCAGCCCAAACCGUUCCGAUGUGAUAGGCCGUAUCCGUUGUCGGAGCGGGGUCGUGGGGUCCUACCAGGGUCCGGUACGGCGGAUCCAGGGAGUUACCAACCUUCCUCUUAACCGAACAGCCUGGAAAGGCUGGCCGCAGAGGGUGAUAGCCCCGUAGGGUAAAGGAGAAAGGCUCCCCGGGUAGGAUUCCCAAGUACCACGGGACCCGAGAAAUCCUGUGGGAAUUUGGGGGGACCACCCUCCAAGGCUAAAUACUCGCUGGUGACCGAUAGUGAACUAGUACCGCGAGGGAAAGGUGAAAAGAACCCCUGUGAGGGGAGUGAAAUAGAACCUGAAACCGCCUACUUACAAGCAGUCGGAGGGCUAUGGUUCCGACUUCGGUCGGGACAAUGCCUGACGGCGUGCCUUUUGUUUAAUGAGCCAGCGAGUUACUCGUAUGCAGCAAGGUUAAGGGCCUCAGGCCCGGAGCCGUAGGGAAACCGAGUGUUAAUAGCGCGAUUCAGUUGUAUGCGGUAGACACGAAGCCGAGUGAUCUAGCCAUGAUCAGGCUGAAGCACAGGUAACACUGUGUGGAGGGCCGAACCUGUUAGGGUUGAAAACCUAUUGGAUGAAUUGUGGCUAGGGGUGAAAGGCCAAUCAAACUCGGCGAUAGCUUGUUCUCUCCGAAAUAUAUUUAGGUAUAGCGUCAAGAUAGUAUGCAGGGGGUAGAGCACUGAAUGGACUAGGGGGCACACCAGCUUACCAAACCCAAACAAACUCCGAAUACCUGUUAUAUGUUUCUUGGCAGUCAGCCCAUGGGUGAUAAGAUUCAUGGACGAAAGGGGAACAACCCGGACCAUCGGCUAAGGUCCCUAAAUCAAUGCUAAGUGGGAAAGGAUGUAGAAUUACCCAGACAACCAGGAGGUUAGCUUAGAAGCAGCUAUCCUUUAAAGAAAGCGUAAUAGCUCACUGGUCAAGUGAUUCUGCGCCGAAAAUUUGCGGGACUAAGCAUAGUACCGAAGCUGUGGGUGUAUUAUCUUCGGAUAAUAUGC
RNAcentral lists this ribosomal RNA (1295 nucleotides) under Candidatus Methylomirabilota bacterium. RNAcentral describes it as "partial 23S ribosomal RNA". It matches the Rfam family "Bacterial large subunit ribosomal RNA", at positions 1 to 1226 of the family's 2925-position model. Lineage: Bacteria; Methylomirabilota (SeqCode). The record is from RNAcentral.